GCACUGCUGACGAGUCCCAAACAGGAUGAAACAGCUGUUUAGUAC
Echinostoma caproni is the source of this 45-nucleotide non-coding RNA. NCBI's taxonomy places the organism in Eukaryota, Metazoa, Platyhelminthes, Trematoda, Plagiorchiida, Echinostomatidae. The record is from Rfam.